CUCACAAGUUGCUCCCUCAUUUAUAUAAGAUCCGAUACAGUGAACACACAGAACAUUUCGGAAUGGAGAUGCUGCUUUUGUUGAGUAAACUGAACGGGCAGCAGGUCGGCUUGACGGUUCUACAUUUAUUUGUGGUCAGUUGGAAAACGAUCCUCAAAGUUGCUGGUCUCCUGUUUACAUAUCUGGUGUUAUUAAUCCAGUUUCGCGAUACCCAUUCUCACAAGAUCCACAAAGUUACUUUC
Molecule: long non-coding RNA, 242 nt
Organism: Octopus sinensis (East Asian common octopus)
Lineage: Eukaryota; Metazoa; Mollusca; Cephalopoda; Octopoda; Octopodidae
Exons: 3
Source: RefSeq, a predicted model, not a curated record